This 26-nucleotide small RNA is filed under the name Bombyx mori (domestic silkworm). RNAcentral describes it as "ovarian small RNA-11188". Lineage: Eukaryota; Metazoa; Arthropoda; Insecta; Lepidoptera; Bombycidae. The record is from RNAcentral.
ACAUUCUCUACUUAAUAAGAUUGUGU